This 323-nucleotide long non-coding RNA is filed under the name Coffea arabica (coffee). RNAcentral describes it as "long non-coding RNA (CARA_LNC005626)". Lineage: Eukaryota; Viridiplantae; Streptophyta; Magnoliopsida; Gentianales; Rubiaceae. The record is from RNAcentral.
GACCAAUUAGGGUUUCAAUGUCAAUUUCAAGUUGGGAAACUUAGUCGAUUUUUGAGAAAACCAUCUAUUGCAUCCAGCCAUUUGAUCAGUUGGGGUUUUGACCCGUGCUUCACUGAAAAAAUUUGGUCAACGAAUUCCAAUCUCUUCGAUAGGAAGUUCGUCAAGGUCAAACCUGUGCGUUUUUGCAAAUUCUUGUAUCGAUCAAAAGUGAUCAAUCCCUUUGGACGAUGUCCUCAUUUUGACAAACGUCUCUUCUCACUCUAAUUGACCAAAUUUUUCAAAAUUAUUUCUCACUCAAUGAGUUGAUCAGAUUCAUCAGGUAU